UGGGGGAUAUUGCACAAUGGGCGAAAGCCUGAUGCAGCGACGCCGCGUGGGGGAUGAAGGCUUUCGGGUUGUAAACCUCUUUCGCUAUCGAACAAGGCCCGCUUAGGGUGGGUUGAGGGUAGGUGGAGAAGAAGCGCCGGCUAACUACGUGCCAGCAGCCGCGUUAAUACGUAGGGCGCGAGCGUUGUCCGGAAUUAUUGGGCGUAAAGGGCUUGUAGGCGGCUUGUUGCGCCUGCUGUGAAAACGCGGGGCUUAACUUCGCGCGUGCAGUGGGUACGGGCAGGCUUGAGUGUGGUAGGGGUGACUGGAAUUCCAGGUGUAGCGAUGGAAUGCGCAGAUAUCUGGAGGAACACCGAUGGCGAAGGCAGGUCACUGGGCCAUUACUGACGCUGAGGAGCGAAAGCAUGGGUAGCGAACAGG
RNAcentral lists this ribosomal RNA (420 nucleotides) under Chloroflexota bacterium. Its description in RNAcentral is "Chloroflexi bacterium partial 16S ribosomal RNA". It matches the Rfam family "Bacterial small subunit ribosomal RNA", at positions 355 to 776 of the family's 1533-position model. The record is from RNAcentral. Lineage: Bacteria; Bacillati; Chloroflexota.